GACGCUUUGGUGGAGUGGUUAACACGUAUCCCUGCUACUAUUUCUCUCGCAGAAAAGACAGGUGAGCAUUUCGCAAGCGCGAAUGAUAGGAUAUCCUCUCUGAGGGCGUGAGUUCGAAUCUCACAGGCGUCG
Molecule: transfer RNA, 132 nt
Filed under: Kalmanozyma brasiliensis GHG001
Lineage: Eukaryota; Fungi; Basidiomycota; Ustilaginomycetes; Ustilaginales
Rfam family: tRNA
About the family: Transfer RNA (tRNA) molecules are approximately 80 nucleotides in length.
Source: Rfam by way of RNAcentral